RNAcentral lists this long non-coding RNA (323 nucleotides) under Mytilus galloprovincialis (Mediterranean mussel). The record is from RNAcentral. Lineage: Eukaryota; Metazoa; Mollusca; Bivalvia; Mytilida; Mytilidae.
ACUAAAGUGAGUUCCCAGUAAAAAAAAGUCCUAUCAUUUCAACUUGUAUAUCUAUUUAUAACUGACAACAAUAUGCAUAACCUUUUAGUUUAAACAUAUUUUACUUGCAAAAGUAGCAAAAGGGAUUGGACACAAGUUAUAACAACAUUAGAGACGUCCUCUCCCAAUAUAAAUAUAAACACAAAGUACAUUAGAUAAUGGCGAAAAAAAACACAACAUAGUAGUAAUGCAUGUAAUACAUACUUCAAACAAAAAUUAGAAAUAAAAAGAAAAAAGAAAAAAAAAAUACAAUAUAAUAAGGAAUAAUAAUGAAACAACUAGAC